RNAcentral lists this ribosomal RNA (59 nucleotides) under Streptomyces sp. SID4920. RNAcentral describes it as "partial 23S ribosomal RNA". The record is from RNAcentral. Lineage: Bacteria; Bacillati; Actinomycetota; Actinomycetes; Kitasatosporales; Streptomycetaceae.
AAGCCCGGUAACGGGUGGAGCUGACUGGUACUAAUAGGCCGAGGGCUUGUCCUCAGUUG